This 40-nucleotide ribosomal RNA is filed under the name Adustoporia sinuosa. RNAcentral's name for it is "partial 28S ribosomal RNA". Lineage: Eukaryota; Fungi; Basidiomycota; Agaricomycetes; Polyporales; Adustoporiaceae. The record is from RNAcentral.
UCUGACCUCAAAUCAGGUAGGAUUACCCGCUGAACUUAAG